AGGACUGGGAUAACUCCGGGAAACCGGGGCUAAUACCGGACGUGCUUGUCCCACGCAAGUGGGCCAAGUAAAGGUAGCUUCGGCCUCCGCCUUGGGAUGGGCCCGCGGCCUAUCAGCUUGUUGGUGAGGUAACGGCUCACCAAGGCUACGACGGGUAGCUGGUCUGAGAGGAUGAUCAGCCACACUGGGACUGAGAUACGGCCCAGACUCCUACGGGAGGCAGCAGUGGGGAAUCUUGCGCAAUGGGCGAAAGCCUGACGCAGCAACGCCGCGUGAGCGAAGAAGGCCUUCGGGUCGUAAAGCUCUGUCAGGGGGAAAGAAGGCACCUGGGUUAAUAGCCCAAGGGCUGACGGUACCCCCAAAGGAAGCCACGGCUAACUACGUGCCAGCAGCCGCGGUAAUACGUAGGUGGCGAGCGUUGUCCGGAAUUAUUGGGCGUAAAGAGCGCGUAGGCGGCUUGUCAGGUCUGAUGUGAAAUCCUGGGGCUUAACCCCAGGCCUGCAUCGGAAACCGGCUUGCUAGAGUCUGGGAGAGGAGAGUGGAAUUCCUGGUGUAGCGGUGAAAUGCGUAGAUAUCAGGAGGAACACCGGUAGCGAAGGCGGCUCUCUGGAACAGUACUGACGCUGAGGCGCGAAAGCUAGGGGAGCAAACAGGAUUAGAUACCCUGGUAGUCCUAGCCGUAAACGAUGGACACUAGGUGUCGGGGGUGUCGACUCCCCCGGUGCCGAAGCUAACGCAUUAAGUGUCCCGCCUGGGGAGUACGGCCGCAAGGCUAAAACUCAAAUGAAUUGACGG
RNAcentral lists this ribosomal RNA (795 nucleotides) under uncultured bacterium. RNAcentral's name for it is "bacterial SSU rRNA". It matches the Rfam family "Bacterial small subunit ribosomal RNA", at positions 134 to 916 of the family's 1533-position model. The record is from RNAcentral.